ACCCCACACACACCCAAACACAGACACAGCCUAUACAUCACACCUCCUGAGUUACAAAAGGCACAACCCUCCUCAAACACACAUCCAUCCUCCGGCACACACCCAGUCCAUGCCUCGCCCCCACACACACCUGACACCCCAGUGCAACACCACACCCACCCUCCCCUCCCUGCAAACUCCCACCUCCGCCCACCUGCUUAAUACACAUUCUCACCCCCCACACACUCCUUAAUACAUACUCUCACACCCACAAGCCUGCCUUCUUGGAGAAGUGAGCCGAGCCGUGCAGCGCCGCGAAGGGCAUCCCCGAAGACCGGGAGGAACGCCGCGGGGACCUGUGGCUUAGCGCGCUCCGCCCGGGCUUGUCUGCCCGCGGGGGCGCAGCGGCUGAGGCGGCUCCGGGCCGGAGUUCCAAUCAAGCGCCACCCAACUCCCAGUCGGGGGCCGAGGCCAGCGCCGGGAUGCCAGCUUCCCCCAAAAAGAUCCUGCCUCAGGGAAAUGCAUGGAGCCGGCGGAAAAGCCCGCGGCGCCCCCGGCGGAUCGCAGACCCUAAGGGGGCGGGAGGUGGCGCCCCAGUCCCAACCUCUUGAGCCAACCCAGUGGGUGGGAAGUGCCCUUACCCUAGGCCUUCCGCAAAGUGUUCUCUCCUUGUAUUAUUCUAAUUACGGUAUUUUUAAUUUCCUUAAAAAAAUAAGAAACAGAAAAGCACAGAACGCA
This is a long non-coding RNA of Homo sapiens (human), 717 nucleotides long. Ensembl annotates it as UNC5B antisense RNA 1. Its record names the gene UNC5B-AS1. The record is from Ensembl. NCBI's taxonomy places the organism in Eukaryota, Metazoa, Chordata, Mammalia, Primates, Hominidae.